ACAGAAAACUUUUGAUGAUGUGGAAGGGUGCUACCAUCUCACACAUGAACUCACACUCCAGUUGAACUUUAUCAUCUGAAGACCAGGAUUACAUUUUACAGGGCCAUGGCAGGACAGUGGCAGGGCUGCUGGAGUUUGAAGCUCAUGAUCAUCUUCAGCCUCCUCGGCCUCAUUGAAGAGUUCGAGGUGAAAGAAGAUGAGUGGGAGGAGCUCGGCUCUGACAUCGCUGCACUGCAUCGACUCCAAGGACUGUCUGAACACAUGUUUGAUGAAAGCUUUAUGAACACCUCAACAACCAGGGUAAAUGGCUACCACCAAUCAAGAUUUGGAAGAUCUGUGAAAAGUUGGUUAUUAAUGAGCCAAAAAGCCCGUUAGGAUUUAUGACAGCAGAUCAUCUGCCUCCUCUGCACUCCCUCCUUCACUACAUCCAUGGAUCUUCUCUAAGGAUUUCCUGCUGCCUGGCAGCUCCAUCUUCACAUCCUUAGUCCAGUGUAUCCACCCUCCC
Molecule: long non-coding RNA, 505 nt
Organism: Oreochromis aureus
Lineage: Eukaryota; Metazoa; Chordata; Actinopteri; Cichliformes; Cichlidae
Source: Ensembl